GGUGUGCUUUCCAAGCCGGGCGCCUUCAUCAAGUACAGUGAGACUUCCCUAUAGGUCCCACCUUGUGUUGCCUUCAGCACCCUGUGAUAUGAGUGGAAAUUGUGACAUUGCAGUGAGCCAGAGGGGCUGCUGAGCUUCUUUGAACAGCAUGACACAGGCUGGAUCAGGACUCCUUUCACAAAUGGAAGGGACUACUCAGCUGAGAAUGGGCAUAGCUGUAAAAUUAAGCAAAGAGCAAGAACAAGAAAUUGAAUACAGCUCCUGAGCAAAGGAACAGGGAGUUCGUGAUAGGUUAUCAGACAGUUUAGGAAGAAAUAAUUGGUUGCUACUGUGGAGAAGGGAUUGUUGCCCACUGGCACUUUAAAGUCA
RNAcentral lists this long non-coding RNA (369 nucleotides) under Gallus gallus (chicken). RNAcentral's name for it is "lncRNA (ENSGALG00010006256.1)". Lineage: Eukaryota; Metazoa; Chordata; Aves; Galliformes; Phasianidae. The record is from RNAcentral.